Non-coding RNA from Coffea arabica (coffee), 728 nucleotides. The record is from RefSeq and is a predicted model, not a curated record. NCBI's taxonomy places the organism in Eukaryota, Viridiplantae, Streptophyta, Magnoliopsida, Gentianales, Rubiaceae.
UCUGCUAUGAUUCAUAUCAUCAGUCAAGGAAUCCUUUAAUUUGAAGAAAAACUUCUGAUUUAGCUUCCACGGAUUUCUAGCAAGUAGUUGCUUCAAUUUCAGUUCAGCAUAUUUGGGGUUGAUGGAUUCAUGCUAAGGAAUUGCUUUACUUCAAGGUCAUUUCUUCUGUUCCUUGACUGCAUAGAUUUAGUUAUCAUAUUAUGCAUGGUGCAUUGAUGGAGAACAAAACAGUACUCAGGCCUAAUAUUGCUUUCAUUUUCUUACGACUACUUUCAUUGAGAUGAAAAGAUAAAGGAAUGCAAGUAAAAGUUUUAGUUUAGUAGAUGAGUGGUUUAAUGAAUGCUACAAUACUCAGGUUUCACUAAAAGGGAGCCCACAUAUCUCUCACAAAAUAGUACAAUCUCAAGAGCUAUCAACAAAUUUCCCCCUUUCUCUCUUUAUGGGGACAACCAUUCUACUAAAAGCAAUUUGUGUUCUUUGUUCUCUGUUUUAUAGAUGGCUAGCUGCCAUGGAAGCAAUCAUUCUACUGAAAGUAAUUUUUACAUUUUCUUCUCUGUUGUACAACUGUUCCUUUUCUUUCAUGUAAAAAAUAACAUUAUAAGCAGAAGGUGAAUAUAUGUAAUCCCCAGAAACUGGUAUCUUCAUUGUAAAGGUGUAUGAAUUUUGUGCUUUUUAAAUGGAAAGGAUAUUAUGUAAUUUCAUUUAAGAAGUAAGGUUCUACCUUUGCU